UCGGGAAUUUUGGGCAAUGGGCGAAAGCCUGACCAGCAACGCCGCGUGAGGGAUGAAGUAUUUCGGUAUGUAAACCUCGAAAGAAUGGGAAGAAUAAAUGACGGUACCAUUUAUAAGCUCCGGCUAACUACGUGCCAGCAGCCGCGGUAAUACGUAGGGAGCAAGCGUUGUUCGGAUUUACUGGGCGUAAAGGGCGCGUAGGCGGCGCGGUAAGUCACUUGUGAAAUCUCUGAGCUUAACUCAGAACGGCCAAGUGAUACUGCUGUGCUAGAGUGCGGAAGAGGCAACCGGAAUUCUUGGUGUAGCGGUGAAAUGCGUAGAUAUCAAGAGGAACACCUGAGGCGAAGGCGGGUUGCUGGGCCGACACUGACGCUGAUGCGCGAAAGCCAGGGGAGCAAACG
RNAcentral lists this ribosomal RNA (401 nucleotides) under uncultured bacterium. RNAcentral's name for it is "bacterial SSU rRNA". It matches the Rfam family "Bacterial small subunit ribosomal RNA", at positions 355 to 774 of the family's 1533-position model. The record is from RNAcentral.